Molecule: ribosomal RNA, 460 nt
Filed under: uncultured bacterium
Lineage: Bacteria
Description: partial 16S ribosomal RNA
Rfam family: Bacterial small subunit ribosomal RNA
Source: RNAcentral
CCUACGGGGGGCAGCAGUGAGGAAUAUUGGUCAAUGGGCUUACGCCUGAACCAGCCAAGUCGCGUGAGGGAAGACUGCCCAAUGGGUUGUAAACCUCUUUUGUCAGGGAGCAACGCCGGCUACGUGUAGCCGGACUGAGAGUACCUGAAGAAAAAGCAUCAGCUAACUCCGUGCCAGCAGCCGCGGUAAUACGGAGGAUGCGAGCGUUAUCCGGAUUUAUUGGGUUUAAGGGGUGCGUAGGCGGAAUGCAAAGUCAGCGGGAAAAUCGCGGGGCUCAACCUCGCUCCGCAGUUGAAACUGGCGUUCUUGAGUGGGCGAGAAGUAUGCGGAAUGCGUGGUGUAGCGGUGAAAUGCAUAGAUAUCACGCAGAACUCCGAUUGCGAAGGCAGCAUACCGGCGCCCAACUGACGCUGAAGCACGAAAGCGUGGGUAUCGAACAGGAUUAGAUACCCUGGUAGUC